This 77-nucleotide transfer RNA is filed under the name Candidatus Cloacimonadota bacterium. Its description in RNAcentral is "tRNA-Arg". It matches the Rfam family "tRNA". Rfam says of the family: Transfer RNA (tRNA) molecules are approximately 80 nucleotides in length. Their secondary structure includes four short double-helical elements and three loops (D, anti-codon, and T loops). The record is from RNAcentral. Lineage: Bacteria; Pseudomonadati; Candidatus Cloacimonadota.
GCGCCCGUAGCUCAAUUGGAUAGAGCAUCUGACUUCGGAUCAGAGGGCUGAGGGUUCAAGUCCUUCCGGGCGUACCA